Molecule: long non-coding RNA, 2808 nt
Filed under: Homo sapiens (human)
Lineage: Eukaryota; Metazoa; Chordata; Mammalia; Primates; Hominidae
Description: HSALNT0323901
Source: RNAcentral
UUGCAAGUCCUUUGUAAGACUGAGCAGCAUGUUCAGCAGGAACUGUAAGUGUCUUCAUAUAUCUGUAUCUUUUUAGGAUGCACCAAUUUUUAAAAUGAUGUUGUUUUCCCUGUACACAAAAGCCAUCACUUCAAAAGCCUUUGAUUAAUUUGUGCACAAUCAAGGGCAUAUGAGAUAGCUGCCAUUUAGUGAGCCAAAGCAAUCCAAUGCCAACUGCAGUAAACCUAUCAAGCUGUCAUCGAGUCAAGCUGUGAGAAAGGCAGCGACGAUUACAAGCAAUAGUUUCCUUCAGUGGUUUCAUAAUUUCAAUUUGUUGUUACAUUUCCAGAUUUUCAAUACUUAUAGUAAGAAUGCUUUAGUAGAGAAAUAUUUUCCCCAGGGGUUACUAUCAACAACUUAGUGUAUUGGUUUUUACCCCCAUCAUUGCUUCAAGUAUAGAAGCUCAUCAGGCAAGAAAUAUUGUGAUUACAGUCAUAUAUAAAUUAUUUAAAGGGGUUCAGCCAAUCAAAACAGAGAUCUAAGUGACUAUUUUCCUUAUUUUCCUCUUGAUGCCUUUGUAACUCCUACUCAAAAAGCAAAUUUCUGAUUGAUAGAAUAGUUUUGAAGUUACUUCAAAAAGACCAUUCUUUUGGAUGGGAGGAGGAUCUCAAUAUGAAUGGUUCACAUACUUCCACAGUAGCUCUUUCAUGACAACUCUUUACAGAGGAGGAGGAGAGAGACCAAAAUAACAACAAGCAGGGGAAUAGGAAGUGGAGGGACACAGUGUUAGAAGGCAACGCAGGUAAUUAAGGUCUAUCCUGGAAAAAAAGAAGACUCAUGUAUUCAGAGGUUCCUCACAUAUCCCAGUUCUGGCUAAAGAAAGUAAUCACUGUUGAAUAAUCUGUUACCAAAAAGUCUCAUUCAAUAACCAGCUUUCACUCAUGCCUUCCAAUGGAAGCAUUUAGCACUCUGCAGAUAGCCGCUAUCAUGCUUGACUUCGUACUCUGAAUAUCACCUGCAAGAAACAAAAUGCUAAUCGCUUCUCAUCUGUCUCAAUUAAUCCAUUCCCUGCAUUUUGAGAUCUUUCUUUUUCUCCCUCCGCCUUUUUUUUAGAUCGUAUUCUCAUUGCCACAUACGAUUGUAUGUCCACUCUUAAUUAAAGCUAAUAAUCAUAGGAUAACUCAUUUUAGAUAGGAUCUGGGGUAAUAUUUUUUCUACAAUUUUGUAGGAGAAUUAGUACAGCUCCCCUUUUAUUUGCCCAAAAUUAAACCUGGAAAACCUAGAACUUCCUAAGAGCUAGCAAAGAUAUCCUCCAAAAUUGCCAAUAGUGGAUGCCUUAUAUUUGGAAAUUCAUUUUAAAACAUUAUUACCUUGUCCUCAAAGGACAUUCUGCAAGUGUCAUACAUACUUGUCAUACGUUAAGCAGUGGAGUUAAGACAGAAAGCUGAAUCUCCUAACUUACAGCAUUAGUGGAAAAGUGAAAAAAUAUACUAAAUAACCAUUCUGAACAAUAUGGAGAAUGAAUAGACUAGUUUGAUAGAUAAAGCUUUUAUUUAUAUUUUAGUUUUUGUAAAGGGCUAGUUCAACAGAUAUGAGCUUUGAAAUUACAAAAAUGUAGGGAUUACACAAAUAACACUCUCUCCUUAAAUAAGUCUGUUUCCUUUAAAAGCUUAUAAUACAGCAUCCCCCACUUUUGUGACUCUUACGGCAAAUACUUCACCAAAAACUCCAAUCAAUUAUGCAGUCUCCAUUACAAAGUUUGAGGAUUUUAAAGUAUCAAAAAGAAACAAGAGGUAAUAAACUCACUAUUAAAGCAUUUAGCUUGGCAAGUGAUUUAUCUCUGUUCAUUUAUCUGCUUAGGGUUUUUAUCUCACUGUGUGAGCAAAUUUCUACUGACAAGCAAUUUCUGGAGAGCAGCCAGAAGUGGGGGGGUGUGAGGGAGGGAGAAAGAUCUCCUAAGAUAUCAAAGACCUGAAAAAAGAAACCUGAUGAAGUGACAUUUGUGGUUUCAAAAAUAAUACACCUCCUCUAGUCUCCUGUUCAUUUACCAAAGAAAAGCUCUCUUGUUCUUUAGCUCCCAUUAUAUAAUGCAAUGUAUAGAAUAAUUGUGAACAAAAUAAUUUUCUGUAUGAGAUAUAUAAAAUCAUUUCGACCCAAAACAACCGAGUUAAAUGAUAGAAACGUGAUCUAUUGUUGCCUUGUACUUCCAAACAUUCUCCUGUUGAUACUAAUCCUGUCUAACUGAGUAUGAAUAGAACCAAAGAAUUUGCAUGGCAGAGUAGCCUAAACAGAAACUAAAAUGCUAGCCAUGUGUGAGUCACUAUUAUUAUUCAUUCAUUUGGGGUUCAAAUCUUCUGAGUAAUUUACACAUAGUAGACCCUCAAGAGAUGCAUUUCAUUAAAGUGACUUCUCAUUGCCGUUUUCUAUAAAUUAUUUUUAAUCUUAACAUGCUACCUCAUUUAAGCUCUCUGUACAGCAGCUGUAUAAAUACCGCUCAGGCAGACUUCUUGGCAAAUACAGCAAGGCUGCUACAAACAGCCAAAAACAAAGCGGAAUUGUUCUAGGAAAUAAAUUACUUGAACAGCGGAGGAGACUUUGCCCUAUUUGAUAUGGAAAGCACAGCCAUGGGUAUGGAUAUCAGAGCCUCAGAGUUAGGAGCUGCUCCAAGCCUUCUUCCCUAGAUGCCUCACACCCCUCCUGGACAACUUCCAAGUAUCACAGCUCUGGAUGGCCACUCAUCUUCUGUGUACAGACUCCAACCCAGCUGAAACCCAUUUCAUGAAAUGUACUUUAUAUAAACCUAAUUUAUUAAAGAGUUGCAUUCAUUAA